RNAcentral lists this transfer RNA (76 nucleotides) under Burkholderia sp. M701. RNAcentral's name for it is "tRNA-Trp". It matches the Rfam family "tRNA". Rfam says of the family: Transfer RNA (tRNA) molecules are approximately 80 nucleotides in length. Lineage: Bacteria; Pseudomonadati; Pseudomonadota; Betaproteobacteria; Burkholderiales; Burkholderiaceae. RNAcentral also lists the same sequence under 1 other name. The record is from RNAcentral.
GGGUCCUUAGCUCAGAUGGAAGAGCGCCGGUCUCCAAAACCGGAUGUCGGCGGUUCGAACCCGUCAGGACCUGCCA